UGAGCAGACUGUAUCGUAGCGCGGGGGAACCCGCGAGGAAAGUCCGGGCAUCAUAGGACAGGAUAACUGCUAACAGCAGCCGGGGGCGACCCCAGGGCCAGUGCAACAGAGAGAUACCGCCCGUUUCCGAAAGGGAGCGGGUAAGGGUGGAAAGGCGAGGUAAGAGCUCACCGGCGCAGGCGGAAGUCUGCGGCCAUGUAAACCCUAUCCGAUGCAACACCGACUGGAAUGUAUUCGCUGGUCCGGCGGUUCCGAAAGGUGGCGCUGAGCGUCCGGGCGACCGGGCGCCAAGAUAGAUUACGAUACUCGACAGAACCCGGCUUAUAGGUUUGGUCACACU
RNAcentral lists this RNase P RNA (340 nucleotides) under Paludihabitans sp. Its description in RNAcentral is "RNase P RNA component class A". It matches the Rfam family "Bacterial RNase P class A". Rfam says of the family: Ribonuclease P (RNase P) is a ubiquitous endoribonuclease, found in archaea, bacteria and eukarya as well as chloroplasts and mitochondria. RNAcentral also lists the same sequence under 1 other name. Lineage: Bacteria; Bacillati; Bacillota; Clostridia; Eubacteriales; Oscillospiraceae. The record is from RNAcentral.